AAGAAUCAACAUCUACAUACCUUAAUCUUUGAAAUUGGAUGAAUUCUAUUGCUUGAGACUCUAUCCGCACUUGUAAUAAAUGAUUCUCAAAUCCCACACUAUGAGGUACUCUAUUCUUGAAGAAAUCUUAAAGAUUUAUGGAUGAAUUUUUGGAAGAUUAGGGUUCUUGAAUUGAAACCCUAGAUAUUUUCUCUUGAGAGAAUUGGAAGAGUAAAUGAUGAAAUUAGAGUUUGGAUGGGG
This 240-nucleotide long non-coding RNA is filed under the name Capsicum annuum. RNAcentral describes it as "long non-coding RNA (CANN_LNC001046)". The record is from RNAcentral. Lineage: Eukaryota; Viridiplantae; Streptophyta; Magnoliopsida; Solanales; Solanaceae.